RNAcentral lists this ribosomal RNA (253 nucleotides) under uncultured bacterium. RNAcentral describes it as "partial 16S ribosomal RNA". It matches the Rfam family "Bacterial small subunit ribosomal RNA", at positions 524 to 776 of the family's 1533-position model. The record is from RNAcentral.
UACGUAGGGUGCAAGCGUUGUCCGGAAUUAUUGGGCGUAAAGAGCUCGUAGGCGGUCUGUCGCGUCGGCUGUGAAAACCCGAGGCUCAACCUCGGGCCUGCAGUCGAUACGGGCAGACUAGAGUGUGGUAGGGGAGACUGGAAUUCCUGGUGUAGCGGUGAAAUGCGCAGAUAUCAGGAGGAACACCGGCGGCGAAGGCGGGUCUCUGGGACGGUACUGACGCUGAGACGCGAAAGCGUGGGGAGCGAACAGG